GGAAUAUUGGGCAAUGGAGGGAACUCUGACCCAGCGACGCCGCGUGCGGGAUGAAGGCCUUCGGGUUGUAAACCGCUUUCAGCAAGGAAGAAGCGAAAGUGACGGUACUUGCAGAAGAAGCACCGGCUAACUAUGUGCCAGCAGCCGCGGUAAUACAUAGGGUGCAAGCGUUGUCCGGAAUUAUUGGGCGUAAAGAGCUCGUAGGUGGUUCGUCACGUCGGAUGUGAAAAUCUGGGGCUUAACCCCAGACCUGCAUUCGAUACGGGCGAGCUAGAGUGUGGUAGGGGAGACUGGAAUUCCUGGUGUAGCGGUGGAAUGCGCAGAUAUCAGGAGGAACACCAAUGGCGAAGGCAGGUCUCUGGGCCAUUACUGACACUGAGGAGCGAAAGCGCGGGGAGCGAACAGGAUUAGAUACCCUGGUAGUCCACGCCGUAAACGGUGGGCACUAGUUGUGGGAACCUUCCACGGUUUCUGCGACGCAGCUAACGCAUUAAGUGCCCCGCCUGGGGAGUACGAUCGCAAGAUUAAAACUCAAAUGAAUUGACGG
RNAcentral lists this ribosomal RNA (547 nucleotides) under uncultured bacterium. RNAcentral describes it as "bacterial SSU rRNA". It matches the Rfam family "Bacterial small subunit ribosomal RNA", at positions 358 to 916 of the family's 1533-position model. The record is from RNAcentral.